This 76-nucleotide transfer RNA is filed under the name Candidatus Sumerlaeota bacterium. RNAcentral's name for it is "tRNA-Lys". It matches the Rfam family "tRNA". From Rfam's summary of the family: Transfer RNA (tRNA) molecules are approximately 80 nucleotides in length. Their secondary structure includes four short double-helical elements and three loops (D, anti-codon, and T loops). Further hydrogen bonds mediate the characteristic L-shaped molecular structure. tRNAs have two regions of fundamental functional importance: the anti-codon, which is responsible for specific mRNA codon recognition, and the 3' end, to which the tRNAs corresponding amino acid is attached (by aminoacyl-tRNA synthetases). tRNAs cope with the degeneracy of the genetic code in two manners: having more than one tRNA (with a specific anti-codon) for a particular amino acid; and 'wobble' base-pairing, i.e. permitting non-standard base-pairing at the 3rd anti-codon position. Lineage: Bacteria; Candidatus Sumerlaeota. The record is from RNAcentral.
GCACCAUUAGCUCAAUUGGUAGAGCAGCGGACUCUUAAUCCGUUGGUUCUAGGUUCGAGUCCUAGAUGGUGUACCA